CCUGCGCCGGUGGGGUCCCUCGGCCUGGCCUGUGCCCUCUUGCAAUCCAGGACCCCUUGCAGGAAGUUGGAGAGCCAGUUUCAGCCCGAUCCCGCAGGCCAGGCUGAGGGACCCCACUGGUGCACA
RNAcentral lists this microRNA precursor (126 nucleotides) under Myotis brandtii (Brandt's bat). Its description in RNAcentral is "mir-9193 microRNA precursor family". It matches the Rfam family "mir-9193 microRNA precursor family". The record is from Rfam by way of RNAcentral. Lineage: Eukaryota; Metazoa; Chordata; Mammalia; Chiroptera; Vespertilionidae.